UCGCUUCUAUCAACCGCAAUUUUGGCAUGAUCUGGCUCUAAGACUUCCAUUUUAUUAUUACCGGAUGGCUGCACUGCAUUUGACUGUGGAAGUGAAGGGUCAUCCAUGGAGGAGGAAGAAGCCUUCGACUUCUCACCCUCCAUCUUUCUUUGUUUCUCAAACAUCAUUUGUAGAUACCUUCCUUGUUCCUCAAUUCUCAACUGUAAAUUCCUCUGAAUCUCAAGCUGUU
This 229-nucleotide unclassified non-coding RNA is filed under the name Hevea brasiliensis (rubber tree). Lineage: Eukaryota; Viridiplantae; Streptophyta; Magnoliopsida; Malpighiales; Euphorbiaceae. The record is from RNAcentral.